RNAcentral lists this ribosomal RNA (466 nucleotides) under uncultured bacterium. RNAcentral's name for it is "partial 16S ribosomal RNA". It matches the Rfam family "Bacterial small subunit ribosomal RNA", at positions 28 to 507 of the family's 1533-position model. The record is from RNAcentral.
GACGAACGCUGGCGGCGUGCUUAACACAUGCAAGUCGAACGGAAAGGCCUCUUUCGGGGGGUACUCGAGUGGCGAACGGGUGAGUAACACGUGAGUAACCUGCCCUGGACUUUGGGAUAACUUCAGGAAACUGGGGCUAAUACCGGAUAGGAGCUCCUGCUGCAUGGUGGGGGAUGGAAAGUUUCGGCGGUUGGGGAUGGACUCGCGGCUUAUCAGCUUGUUGGUGGGGUAGUGGCUUACCAAGGCGUUGACGGGUAGCCGGCCUGAGAGGGUGACCGGCCACAUUGGGACUGCGAUACGGCCCAGACUCCUACGGGAGGCAGCAGUGGGGAAUAUUGCACAAUGGGUGGAAGCCUGAUGCAGCAACGCCGUGUGCGGGAUGACGGCCUUCGGGUUGUAAACCGCUUUCGCUCAUGACGAAGCUUUGUGUGAGGUAGUGGGUAAAGAAGCACCGGCUAACUACGUG